UAGGGAAUCUUCCACAAUGGACGCAAGUCUGAUGGAGCAACGCCGCGUGAGUGAAGAAGGCUUUCGGGUCGUAAAACUCUGUUGUUGGAGAAGAAUGGUCGGCAGAGUAACUGUUGCCGGCGUGACGGUAUCCAACCAGAAAGCCACGGCUAACUACGUG
RNAcentral lists this ribosomal RNA (160 nucleotides) under uncultured Lactobacillus sp. Its description in RNAcentral is "partial 16S ribosomal RNA". It matches the Rfam family "Bacterial small subunit ribosomal RNA", at positions 355 to 507 of the family's 1533-position model. Lineage: Bacteria; Bacillati; Bacillota; Bacilli; Lactobacillales; Lactobacillaceae. The record is from RNAcentral.